GAUGAACGCUGGCGGCGUGCCUAAUACAUGCAAGUCGAGCGAACAGACGAUGAGCUUGCUCCUCUGACGUUAGCGGCGGACGGGUGAGUAACACGUGGAUAACCUACCUAUAAGACUGGGAUAACUUCGGGAAACCGGAGCUAAUACCGGAUAAUAUAUUGAACCGCAUGGUUCAAUAGUGAAAGACGGUUUUGCUGUCACUUAUAGAUGGAUCCGCGCCGCAUUAGCUAGUUGGUAAGGUAACGGCUUACCAAGGCAACGAUGCGUAGCCGACCUGAGAGGGUGAUCGGCCACACUGGAACUGAGACACGGUCCAGACUCCUACGGGAGGCAGCAGUAGGGAAUCUUACGCAAUGGGCGAAAGCCUGACGGAGCAACGCCGCGUGAGUGAUGAAGGUCUUCGGAUCGUAAAACUCUGUUAUUAGGGAAGAACAAAUGUGUAAGUAACUAUGCACGUCUUGACGGUACCUAAUCAGAAAGCCACGGCUAACUACGUG
This 497-nucleotide ribosomal RNA is filed under the name uncultured bacterium. Its description in RNAcentral is "partial 16S ribosomal RNA". It matches the Rfam family "Bacterial small subunit ribosomal RNA", at positions 28 to 507 of the family's 1533-position model. The record is from RNAcentral.